CGGCGCAAGGGUUAAGCGCCGGAGAAGGGCCGCUCGUGACUUCCGUGCUCUUCCAUCUGGUGGGAACCCUGAAACCCAUUUGUAAAUUAAUUUUUUACUUGGAAUGCGCGCUGCCGCAUCCAGUCAUCCCUGGAUCCCGCACAGACAGCUUGCGCUGCUGCCUCCACAUGUCUCCAGCGACGGGCUCGGCUCCGACUGAUUGGAGAUGCAGGAGAAUGGGAUCAUUAAAGAUGCUUUGGGAUGCACCACUCCCUCCCAGUGCCAGUUAAAAUGUGCCUCUGGCAGCGGCGCUUCCCCGGUGACAUUUUCCAGUGCCUCAGGAAAACAACGGUGCCGACUGGCACACUGCAGCGAGUGGCCGGCAGCACCACACCAUCCCAACGGCUCUUAUUCCCAGGAAACAUGGGCAAAAUUAUCAAUUCAUAGGUUGGAAACACUUAUCCCAAAUAAUAGCCCCGUUUACAACCCGCCUCUACUUUUGACGUGCUGAGCGCCUCAAAUAGCAACAAUAAAGCCUCUGUCUUCUUUCAA
Pseudopipra pipra is the source of this 531-nucleotide long non-coding RNA. RefSeq lists it as uncharacterized. NCBI's taxonomy places the organism in Eukaryota, Metazoa, Chordata, Aves, Passeriformes, Pipridae. The record is from RefSeq and is a predicted model, not a curated record. The transcript has 2 exons.